Molecule: ribosomal RNA, 919 nt
Filed under: uncultured Bacteroidota bacterium
Lineage: Bacteria; Pseudomonadati; Bacteroidota
Description: bacterial SSU rRNA
Rfam family: Bacterial small subunit ribosomal RNA
Source: RNAcentral
UGACUUUGAUCAUGGCUCAGGAUGAACGCUAGCUACAGGCUUAACACAUGCAAGUCGAGGGGAAACGAUAUUGGAAGCUUGCUUCCGAUAGGCGUCGACCGGCGCACGGGUGAGUAACGCGUAUCCAACCUGCCCACCACUUGGGGAUAACCUUGCGAAAGUAAGACUAAUACCCAAUGACGUCUCUAGAAGACAUCUGAAAGAGAUUAAAGAUUUAUCGGUGAUGGAUGGGGAUGCGUCUGAUUAGCUUGUUGGCGGGGUAACGGCCCACCAAGGCGACGAUCAGUAGGGGUUCUGAGAGGGAGGUCCCCCACAUUGGAACUGAGACACGGUCCAAACUCCUACGGGAGGCAGCAGUGAGGAAUAUUGGUCAAUGGACGAGAGUCUGAACCAGCCAAGUAGCGUGCAGGAAGACGGCCCUAUGGGUUGUAAACUGCUUUUAUAAGGGAAUAAAGUUAGUCUCGUGAGACUUUUUGCAUGUACCUUAUGAAUAAGGACCGGCUAAUUCCGUGCCAGCAGCCGCGGUAAUACGGAAGGUCCGGGCGUUAUCCGGAUUUAUUGGGUUUAAAGGGAGCGUAGGCCGGAGAUUAAGCGUGUUGUGAAAUGUAGAUGCUCAACAUCUGAACUGCAGCGCGAACUGGUUUCCUUGAGUACGCACAAAGUGGGCGGAAUUCGUGGUGUAGCGGUGAAAUGCUUAGAUAUCACGAAGAACUCCGAUUGCGAAGGCAGCUCACUGGAGCGCAACUGACGCUGAAGCUCGAAAGUGCGGGUAUCGAACAGGAUUAGAUACCCUGGUAGUCCGCACGGUAAACGAUGGAUGCCCGCUGUUGGUCUGAAUAGGUCAGCGGCCAAGCGAAAGCAUUAAGCAUCCCACCUGGGGAGUACGCCGGCAACGGUGCAACUCAAAUGAAUUGACGGA